RNAcentral lists this transfer RNA (66 nucleotides) under Cacoplistes rogenhoferi. RNAcentral describes it as "tRNA-Asp". The record is from RNAcentral. Lineage: Eukaryota; Metazoa; Arthropoda; Insecta; Orthoptera; Phalangopsidae.
AAGAAUCUAGUUAAAAUAUAACAUCAAUAUGUCAUAUUGAAAUUAUUAAUAUAUUAAUGAUUCUUA